ACGCUCGACACCUACUGGAGGCAGCAGUGGGGAAUAUUGCACAAUGGGGGAAACCCUGAUGCAGCAACGCCGCGUGAAGGAAGACGGUUUUCGGAUUGUAAACUUCUGUUCUUAGUGAAGAUAGUGACGGUAGCUAAGGAGCAAGCCACGGCUAACUACGUGCCAGCAGCCGCGGUAAUCUGAGCGGGCUGGCAAGGC
Molecule: ribosomal RNA, 198 nt
Filed under: uncultured bacterium
Lineage: Bacteria
Description: partial 16S ribosomal RNA
Rfam family: Bacterial small subunit ribosomal RNA
Source: RNAcentral